Molecule: unclassified non-coding RNA, 347 nt
Filed under: uncultured fungus
Lineage: Eukaryota; Fungi
Description: sequence contains ITS1
Rfam family: 5.8S ribosomal RNA (bases 1-103)
Source: RNAcentral
UAACUGCGUGCAGACGUGUGAACUGCAGGACACAUGAACACCGACGUUUUGAACGCAUAUGGCGGUCUGAAAUAACUUUCAGACCAUGUCUGGCUGAGGGUCGGAUAUAAAACAAAAACCAAAGUUGGCAUUGUUUGCCCUAAAAUUCGUCAAUGCUAGCAACAUCCUGUAUGGUAUGUUGUAGCUUGAUGAGAUCAAUCAUUUUGUGGUUAUGAUAACAUAGGCAUACCCGAUUUGAAAUAAAAAUCAAAGUAUGGCUCAUAACCACAUAAAAUAAAGAAAUCUCAUGUUACGUGAGAUUAUAUUUUUGCGACCUCAGAGUAGGCAAGAUUACCCGCUAAAUUUAA